ACUCCUACGGGAGGCAGCAGUGGGGAAUCUUAGACAAUGGGCGCAAGCCUGAUCUAGCCAUGCCGCGUGAUCGAUGAAGGCCUUAGGGGUUGUAAAAGUCUUUCAGAUGGGAAGAUAAUGACGGUACCAUCAGAAGAAGCCCCGGCUAACUCCGUGCCAGCAGCCGCGGUAAUACGGAGGGGCUAGCGUUAUUCGGAAUUACUGGGCGUAAAGCGCACGUAGGCGGAUGAUUAAGCGAGAUGUGAAAUCCCGGGCUCAACCUCGGAACUGCAUUCGAACUGGUCAUCUAGAGUACUGUAGAGGGUGGUGGAAUUUCCAGUGUAGCGGUGAAAUGCGUAGAGAUUGGAAGGAACAUCAGUGGCGAAGGCGGGCCACCUGGACAGAUACUGACGCUGAGGCACGAAAGCGUGGGGAGCAAACAGGAUUAGAUACCCUGGUAGACUGUC
Molecule: ribosomal RNA, 446 nt
Filed under: uncultured bacterium
Lineage: Bacteria
Description: bacterial SSU rRNA
Rfam family: Bacterial small subunit ribosomal RNA
Source: RNAcentral